This is a non-coding RNA of Ahaetulla prasina, 405 nucleotides long. NCBI's taxonomy places the organism in Eukaryota, Metazoa, Chordata, Lepidosauria, Squamata, Colubridae. The record is from the annotation of a RefSeq genome assembly.
AUGAUUCUGUUCCUAAACCUGUUCUCCUUAAUUCUACUCCUUCAUGCUGUCCAAUCUGAUGCCCAGUUGGUGGAGUCUGGAGGAGGUGAGAGAAGACCUGGAGGUUCCCUCCGUCUCUCCUGCCAAGGUUCUGGAUUCGCCUUCAGCAGCUACUGGAUGCACUGGGUGAGACAGGCCCCAGGGAAAGGCCUGGAAUGGGUGUCAUGGAUAAGUCGUAAUGGAGGUGAUGUCACCUACUCGGACAAGCUGAAGGGCUGCUUCACCACAUCCAGGGACAAUGCCAAGAGCCAGCUGUAUCUGCAAAUGAACAAUCUUAGAAGUGAAGACACGGCAGUCUAUUAUUGUGUGAGAGACACAGUGAGAGGAAGUGAAUCUGAAGCUAAACAAAAACGUUCCUGCCUUUAA